UAUCCUUCUCGGCAUUAAUUGUUAAUUCCCAUCUAAUUCUUUCUGCUUCUGGUGGGUCACAUUCCUUUAAGAUCGGUUCUAUUGUAACAGCCAUCUUUUUCCAGUCCAUUGGUUGAGUUACAAUUUUAUUCGGGCCGUAGCAGUACACAUCUUUAACAAAUUGUGGAAGGUCAAUAUCUCCUAUCACCUUAAUGCUUUCAAUCUUAUCAUUAUUUUUGUUUCGUAUUUGUUGUUUAAAAAUCCACCUUAACUUUUUAAUAUAAUUAUUACGGAUCUUUUUCUUAAAAUCUUCGACUAACGUAUUAAUGUUUGCUUCUGGUCUAUCUCCAGUUCUAUCGCAUUCUGUCUGUUCUAAUUUAUUUUUAUUUUGAUUUUUAAAGCGGAAUAGGUCUCUCCUAGCAUUGGCUAUGGCUGUUUUAAGACAUCUAUCUUUGACUGUUUUCAAAAGGUGUUCGGAUCUAACGGGCAAAGAAAGCCUAUAUAUUGACAUGGGUAGGACCCUGUUAAUUUUACAUUGUCUCAGGAACAUCAGCUUUUCUUCCAACCUAAUUUGCUUUUUCUGUAACUGCCAUGAUAGUAUCGCUGGCUCGGCGUCCAUAUUAUCGAAGGUUCUUAAUUUACACUGCUCGUUUUAUAUAAGAGCUGAAAUUGUA
Molecule: long non-coding RNA, 653 nt
Filed under: Androctonus crassicauda
Lineage: Eukaryota; Metazoa; Arthropoda; Arachnida; Scorpiones; Buthidae
Source: RNAcentral